This 397-nucleotide ribosomal RNA is filed under the name uncultured bacterium. RNAcentral describes it as "bacterial SSU rRNA". It matches the Rfam family "Bacterial small subunit ribosomal RNA", at positions 28 to 428 of the family's 1533-position model. The record is from RNAcentral.
GACGAACGCUGGCGGCGUGCUUAACACAUGCAAGUCGAGCGGUAAGGCCCUUUCGGGGGUACACGAGCGGCGAACGGGUGAGUAACACGUGGGUGACCUGCCCUCAGCUCUGGGAUAAGCCUGGGAAACCGGGUCUAAUACUGGAUAUGACUCCAUGACGCAUGUUGUGGGGUGGAAAGCCUUGUGCGGCUGAGGAUGGGCCCGCGGCCUAUCAGCUUGUUGGUGGGGUGANGGCCUACCAAGGCGACGACGGGUGGCCGGCCUGAGAGGGCGACCGGCCACACUGGGACUGAGACACGGCCCAGACUCCUACGGGAGGCAGCAGUGGGGAAUCUUGCGCAAUGGGCGAAAGCCUGACGCAGCGACGCCGCGUGAGGGAUGACGGCCUCGGUUGUAA